This 271-nucleotide unclassified non-coding RNA is filed under the name Hevea brasiliensis (rubber tree). The record is from RNAcentral. Lineage: Eukaryota; Viridiplantae; Streptophyta; Magnoliopsida; Malpighiales; Euphorbiaceae.
CAGGGACCAAAUUGUAAAUUGAAAAUUUCUCUAUCAAAAACAGUAAUGCUUAUAUUUAUUUUGGUUUCCAGUGAGCAUAUAAUCAAGUGACUAUCACAGCAGGAGCUGCAGAGAAGUGGAAGCAAGAAUCAUGAGCUUUGUUUGAUGAAAGCAGAGAAAAGUUAUUACUUGAAGAUUCAUCUAUGGAGCUUCCUGCUUCUGUGGAAGAACUCGACCAUUUCAUUUGCAUGAAGCUUCUCUUUCUCCAUGGGCCCAUAUGGAUUUUCUUCUC